AGAGUUUGAUCCUGGCUCAGAUUGAACGCUGGCGGAAUGCUUUACACAUGCAAGUCGAACGGCAGCACGGGUGCUUGCACCUGGUGGCGAGUGGCGAACGGGUGAGUAAUACAUCGGAACGUACCCAGUUGUGGGGGAUAACGAGUCGAAAGAUUCGCUAAUACCGCAUACGACCUGAGGGUGAAAGCGGGGGACCGUAAGGCCUCGCGCAAUUGGAGCGGCCGAUGUCUGAUUAGCUAGUUGGUGAGGUAAAGGCUCACCAAGGCGACGAUCAGUAGCUGGUCUGAGAGGAUGAUCAGCCACACUGGAACUGAGACACGGUCCAGACUCCUACGGGAGGCAGCAGUGGGGAAUUUUGGACAAUGGGCGAAAGCCUGAUCCAGCCAUGCCGCGUGCAGGAUGAAGGCCUUCGGGUUGUAAACUGCUUUUGUACGGAACGAAAAGACUCCUUCUAAUAAAGGGGGUUCAUGACGGUACCGUAAGAAUAAGCACCGGCUAACUACGUGCCAGCAGCCGCGGUAAUACGUAGGGUGCAAGCGUUAAUCGGAAUUACUGGGCGUAAAGCGUGCGCAGGCGGUUAUAUAAGACAGAUGUGAAAUCCCCGGGCUCAACCUGGGAACUGCAUUUGUGACUGUAUAGCUAGAGUACGGCAGAGGGGGAUGGAAUUCCGCGUGUAGCAGUGAAAUGCGUAGAUAUGCGGAGGAACACCGAUGGCGAAGGCAAUCCCCUGGGCCUGUACUGACGCUCAUGCACGAAAGCGUGGGGAGCAAACAGGAUUAGAUAC
Molecule: ribosomal RNA, 784 nt
Filed under: uncultured Pseudomonadota bacterium
Lineage: Bacteria; Pseudomonadati; Pseudomonadota
Description: bacterial SSU rRNA
Rfam family: Bacterial small subunit ribosomal RNA
Source: RNAcentral